RNAcentral lists this long non-coding RNA (273 nucleotides) under Mytilus galloprovincialis (Mediterranean mussel). Lineage: Eukaryota; Metazoa; Mollusca; Bivalvia; Mytilida; Mytilidae. The record is from RNAcentral.
UUUUUAUGCCCCACCUACGAUAGUAGAGGGGCAUUAUGUUUUCUGGUCUGUGCCUCCGUUCGUCCGUCCGUCCGUCCGGUUAAAGUUUUUGGUCGAGGUAGUUUUUGAUGAAGCUGAAGUCCAAUCAACUUGAAACUUAAUACAAAUGUUCCCCAUGAUAUGAUCUUUCUAAUUUUAAUGCCAAAUUAUAGUUUUGACCCCAAUUUCAUGGUCUACUGAACAUAGAAAAUGAUAGUGCAAAGUUCAGGUUAAAGUUUUUGGUCAUGGUAGUUU